ACUGAAUGGGGGCGGGGGCUGGGGUGUGGAGAGUACGCGAGGAUUAAAAAGAAAACCAAGAGCAGAGGAGGAGGGAUGAGAAGAGCUUGCAGGUGCAGGCAGGCAAAAUUCCCUGCAGGGUUCAUGUGCUCUGGGUGCCGGAGAUCCUCGGGUCCCCGGAGGCUGCCGGCGGGCAGGGGCGGCUCGGCGGGGGCUGCGACCACCCCGCCCGGCACCUGCGGGAUUAGCGCGGAGCGGGACUGCGGAGCGCCGCAACCGGCUGGCAGCAGGCAGCGAUAAAGGGGAAUGAACAAGAGCAGUGGCAACCAUCCUAAUGAACAGGACAGAAGGCUGGGUUCCAUUAAAACUCU
Long non-coding RNA from Passer domesticus (house sparrow), 350 nucleotides. RefSeq lists it as uncharacterized. The transcript is spliced from 3 exons. Lineage: Eukaryota; Metazoa; Chordata; Aves; Passeriformes; Passeridae. The record is from RefSeq and is a predicted model, not a curated record.